Molecule: small RNA, 203 nt
Rfam family: Actinobacteria sRNA Ms_IGR-5
ACACGAUGAAAGGAGGUGAUCCGGAAGUGUUUUCUUCUCGGAUGCGUGAGGUGGCUGCGGGCUGAGGCCUGCUGUCGCGCUCUCCACUGUCGGCAGGCCUCCUGCCGCAAUCCCCAGCAGUCACCCGACCCGUGGGCCGCCGGAAUCCGACCGGCAUCCUCCGUAACGUACGGCGGAGGAUUCAGGCCCACGGGUCGUCCGCG